Molecule: transfer RNA, 69 nt
Filed under: Conocara macropterum (longfin smooth-head)
Lineage: Eukaryota; Metazoa; Chordata; Actinopteri; Alepocephaliformes; Alepocephalidae
Description: tRNA-Met
Source: RNAcentral
AGUAAGGUCAGCUAAUUAAGCUUUUGGGCCCAUACCCCAAACAUGUUGGUUAAAUCCCCUCCCCUACUA